UACAGAGGUCUCAAGCGUUGUUCGGAUUCAUUGGGCGUAAAGGGUGCGUAGGCGGCGCGGUAAGUCGGGUGUGAAAUCUCGGGGCUUAACUCCGAAACUGCAUUCGAUACUGCCGUGCUUGAGGACUGGAGAGGAGACUGGAAUUUACGGUGUAGCGGUGAAAUGCGUGGAUAUCGUAAGGAAGACCAGUGGCGAAGGCGGGUCUCUGGACAGUUCCUGACGCUGAGGCACGAAGGCCAGGGGAGCAAACGGG
RNAcentral lists this ribosomal RNA (253 nucleotides) under uncultured bacterium. RNAcentral describes it as "partial 16S ribosomal RNA". It matches the Rfam family "Bacterial small subunit ribosomal RNA", at positions 524 to 776 of the family's 1533-position model. The record is from RNAcentral.